This 1608-nucleotide long non-coding RNA is filed under the name Ooceraea biroi (clonal raider ant). RNAcentral describes it as "uncharacterized LOC109610867". Lineage: Eukaryota; Metazoa; Arthropoda; Insecta; Hymenoptera; Formicidae. The record is from RNAcentral.
UGUGAAAUAAAAAACAAUUCAUCAAUUCAGAAACUUAAAAAAUUGUCGCGAUAAUAUUAUACAGCAGCGAAACGUGAAUAAUGCCUCAUUAUCAUAUAUUUUGAGUUUUUUAGCGAUAAAUGACGUGUAUACUGAACAUAUCAAUAAUGCGUUGUUAUAAUGAUGCUAGUAUGACACUUCUACGGUAUUUAGCCUUUUAAGAGAUAAAUUUGUUGCACGUUUGAAAUUUAUUGAUGCAAUCUUUUAAUAAAAGAAAGUUUUCGCUCUGACGAAACGAUUUCGUACUGCGCGUAGAUUGCCUUUACUCCUUGAUGAUCGUUCACCUUCGGUAUUUGGAACGAGCAUUUUUUGUGGGUAGCGAGCAUCAGAUGGCGAAUGAAACAGUGAUUGACAGUGUUUUUCGAUAGUGCGUUAGAAAUGAAAGAAUCUAUUUUAAAUCGUAUUUCUUUUUUAUAGUAAAAGUCGAUUAUUUCAUCAGAAGAAUUUGUCAACAGAAUAAAAUUCGAUUCUUCACUUUCGAGUACGGCGUUUUAGUCUUCUCUUUGGAUCAUAUACUUGGCAUCUCGAUAAAUAACAAUUCUAUUUUCACGCUGAAGAACAUGAUGUCAACACAAAGUAAAGUCUAUAUAUAUAUAUUUUACACAAUAUUCAAACGAAAACAGAUUUAGUUUUUCCACUCUUGACCAGCAUUAGUGCGCAACCAGUUUUUGACCGACGUGUUUUCCUUUUUUGUUACCAAACGAGAGGGAAUGUCGCGUCGCACCGAGACUUUCAUUGCUGACCGAAGACAAGUCAUGGCACGUGACCGAGGACAAUCAGAUGUGCGCAAAUUCAACGAGACACGACACACUUUGAGCAGUCCCCGAUACAUAAAUUCGACGUCUUGAAUUACGACAUUAAAAUGCAUGCAGAAAUGAAAUGAUGACUCUCGCGACUUUGAAUUUGCAGAUGAUCCUUUCUUGACUUGCCCCAGUUGAGUGAAGCAAUCACGCACUUGGUAGAAACUACUAAGCUAGAAGCUAUUAGUUGGAGAUAUAAAAUAGACGCAGAUAUAGAAUAAACGCAGAUGUAUAAGAAAUAACGCCAAGAUAACGAAUAAGAAUGUAAAAUAAUGAAAUAGAAAUGCAGAAUCGAAUUAAUGUAAUAUUCUCUUAGGAAUAAUCUUGUUCUGAAGCAACACUGCGCAAACCGAACAGUCAAUCACAAUUCAAUUGAGAAAAGAACUAAUAUAUGCAAUGAUUAUUCAAUUAUCACUUGCUUUUUAUGAGACGAUACUAUGAAAGAAAUUAAACACAACUUUUAUUCGUUUUUCGACCGGUUUUUAUGUCGAUAAUGAUUGUCAAAGAUCGUCAACAAAUUUACGAUUCUCCGUUAAGCUUCUUUUCACGAUUCAAAUAAAAAUGAUUAAGGAAUAGCAAGCAGAUUGCCUACACGGAGAGGCAUCCGCAGGCAUCAAUCCUGAUCAAUCCUGUUUACUGAUCGGGCAUUCUUGAUCAGCGUUUCAUGCAUUCGAUGUGAGCUCAGGCUACGUGCAAAACGUGGAAAAAGAACGGAUCUUUCCGCUAAUAUCGAUCUUCACGAGCGAAUACAAACCAAUACACUUGACUC